RNAcentral lists this non-coding RNA (21 nucleotides) under Caenorhabditis elegans. Lineage: Eukaryota; Metazoa; Nematoda; Chromadorea; Rhabditida; Rhabditidae. The record is from RNAcentral.
UCCAUGGAUUUAUAGCGAAAU